AUAAGUCCGGCCCCGAACUCUCUGUGCUCUUCCGCCAAGUUGAAAACAGAGAUUCGGGGUUUGUCUUUU
RNAcentral lists this non-coding RNA (69 nucleotides) under Aeromonas salmonicida subsp. salmonicida. Lineage: Bacteria; Pseudomonadati; Pseudomonadota; Gammaproteobacteria; Aeromonadales; Aeromonadaceae. RNAcentral also lists the same sequence under 1 other name. The record is from RNAcentral.